Molecule: long non-coding RNA, 655 nt
Filed under: Homo sapiens (human)
Lineage: Eukaryota; Metazoa; Chordata; Mammalia; Primates; Hominidae
Description: HSALNT0338052
Source: RNAcentral
GGGGGGCGGGGCCGGCGCGACCGGCGGGGCGGGGCGGACACUCCCACCGCGCACCUGCUUCUGCCUGACGUGUACCCGGAAGGUCGUCAGCUCAGGCUCCAAAUAUGUAACAGUGAGUUUCUAAAACAGGUGGAGAGGUAUGAAGAACGAGGAACACUGCCCGGGGAGUUUCUUCCUCUGCAAAAUAAGGGAGUGUGUACUGAAUUACCGUUUCCAGCUCCAACAUCCAGGAUUUCAGCACUACCUGCAGAGUAGUGGGAGGAGAGAUAGAGGAAGAAGUGAAGAUAAGAAACCACUCGAAGCCGGUGUCUGGUGCUGGGACCGUGGUGGCUGGGACGGCAGCAGUCGUGCUGUCCAUCUGCUCUUCCGAGGGGUGGCACAUCCUAGCCUCUAUCUUUUCCCCAGAGAAGAUCCCCCUCGUCUGCUCUUCCCCCGUCUCAGCCUUUUAGUGUGUGAACAGUUCUGGUGUUACUCAGCAACGCUUUUGUUAGCGCCUUUACCAGCAAGUACUUGUUAAACACUUAAAUCUUACAAGUGGAAAGAAAAUUCCGUGGUAAAUUUAAGUACAAAAGUCAACCAAAAUUCUGAGUCUCGGACAAGACUGGUUAAAAAUCGUUCUACAAUGAAACUAAUAAAUUAAAUCAUAUAAAACUUU